GUCGAACGGCAGCGGACCUUCGGGUGCCGGCGAGUGGCGAACGGGUGAGUAACGUAUCGGAACGUACCUUUCAGUGGGGGAUAACGUAGCGAAAGUUACGCUAAUACCGCAUAUUCUCUGAGGAGGAAAGCAGGGGACCUUCGGGCCUUGCGCUGAUUGAGCGGCCGAUAUCAGAUUAGCUAGUUGGUGGGGUAAAGGCCUACCAAGGCGACGAUCUGUAGCGGGUCUGAGAGGAUGAUCCGCCACACUGGAACUGAGACACGGUCCAGACUCCUACGGGAGGCAGCAGUGGGGAAUUUUGGACAAUGGGCGCAAGCCUGAUCCAGCCAUGCCGCGUGAGUGAAGAAGGCCUUCGGGUUGUAAAGCUCUUUCGGCCGGGAAGAAAUCGCAUCGGUUAAUACCCGAUGUGGAUGACGGUACCGGAAUAAGAAGCACCGGCUAACUACGUGCCAGCAGCCGCGGUAAUACGUAGGGUGCGAGCGUUAAUCGGAAUUACUGGGCGUAAAGCGUGCGCAGGCGGUUUUGUAAGACAGGCGUGAAAUCCCCGGGCUCAACCUGGGAACUGCGCUUGUGACUGCAAGGCUAGAGUAUGGCAGAGGGGGGUGGAAUUCCACGUGUAGCAGUGAAAUGCGUAGAGAUGUGGAGGAACACCGAUGGCGAAGGCAGCCCCCUGGGCCAAUACUGACGCUCAUGCACGAAAGCGUGGGUAGCAAACAGGAUUAGAUACCCCUGGUAGUCCACG
This 742-nucleotide ribosomal RNA is filed under the name uncultured bacterium. RNAcentral's name for it is "bacterial SSU rRNA". It matches the Rfam family "Bacterial small subunit ribosomal RNA", at positions 61 to 799 of the family's 1533-position model. The record is from RNAcentral.